This 841-nucleotide long non-coding RNA is filed under the name Coffea arabica (coffee). RNAcentral's name for it is "long non-coding RNA (CARA_LNC003187)". The record is from RNAcentral. Lineage: Eukaryota; Viridiplantae; Streptophyta; Magnoliopsida; Gentianales; Rubiaceae.
GAUAAUCAAAAAUAGUUGUUGCAUUAGGCUACAUGCCAAUAAAGCAUAUUAAGGACUCAAAUAUCAUAUUGAGGUGCACAUUACCCAACAAAGGUCUAUAAAAGUAACAUUGUUCUGACAGCCCUCGACAAUAUUGUCCCACAGUUUGACACCCCGUAGGGCCGUGGGUUUUGUUCUUGGCGGUGUUGGACAACACAACAGGCACUCGCAGGCUACCUUACCAAAAGGCCUCGUCGAGGUGGGUGAUACCACAACAGACUUAUUAAAACAGCCCAGGCUCUCUCCCUAGCUGAUGUGGGAGCAUGACACUCCACCCUCCUAAGGAGACCCAGCGUCCUCGCUGGCACAUCGGGGUCGGGAGUCGGUUUUGAUACCAACUCUGACAGCCCCUCGACAAUAUUGUCCCACAGUUUGACACCCCGUGGCGCCAUGGGUUUUGUUCUUGGCGGUACUGGAUAACACAACAGUUACCCGCAGGCUACCUCACCAAAAGGCCUCAUCGAGAUGGGUGAUACCACAACAGACUUAUCAAAGCAGCCCGGACUCUCUCCCUAGCCGAUGUGGGAGCAUGACAAUUGUGCCCAAAUAUCACAUAUUCAUAAGGUACGUUUACAAAAGGAAUUAAGUUCAAGAAACCAAAGAACAUCUAAGCGAACCCUUGCACGAGCAAAUUGCGACUUUGUCUUCAACGUCCUUUAGUCAUUGCUAUAGAUAGCUCCCAAAAUUUUGUUUAAAUAGCAUUUAUCUGUAAUAAAGUAGUAAAACAAGUAGAUAAGGGGAGGAUUAAAACACUGAAGGAGAAGUAACAAUAGUUAGGUUGCUUAGCUAAAAUAUGCAAUCC